This 789-nucleotide ribosomal RNA is filed under the name uncultured bacterium. RNAcentral's name for it is "bacterial SSU rRNA". It matches the Rfam family "Bacterial small subunit ribosomal RNA", at positions 8 to 794 of the family's 1533-position model. The record is from RNAcentral.
AGAGUUUGAUCCUGGCUCAGAUUGAACGCUGGCGGCAUGCCUUACACAUGCAAGUCGAACGGUAACAGGUCUUCGGAUGCUGACGAGUGGCGAACGGGUGAGUAAUACAUCGGAACGUGCCCGAUCGUGGGGGAUAACGCAGCGAAAGCUGUGCUAAUACCGCAUACGAUCUACGGAUGAAAGCGGGGGAUCGCAAGACCUCGCGCGGACGGAGCGGCCGAUGGCAGAUUAGGUAGUUGGUGGGAUAAAAGCUUACCAAGCCGACGAUCUGUAGCUGGUCUGAGAGGACGACCAGCCACACUGGGACUGAGACACGGCCCAGACUCCUACGGGAGGCAGCAGUGGGGAAUUUUGGACAAUGGGCGCAAGCCUGAUCCAGCCAUGCCGCGUGCAGGAUGAAGGCCUUCGGGUUGUAAACUGCUUUUGUACGGAACGAAAAAGCUCUCUCUAAUACAGGGGGUGAAUGACGGUACCGUAAGAAUAAGCACCGGCUAACUACGUGCCAGCAGCCGCGGUAAUACGUAGGGUGCAAGCGUUAAUCGGAAUUACUGGGCGUAAAGCGUGCGCAGGCGGUUAUGUAAGACAGAGGUGAAAUCCCCGGGCUCAACCUGGGAACUGCCUUUGUGACUGCAUAGCUGGAGUGCGGCAGAGGGGGAUGGAAUUCCGCGUGUAGCAGUGAAAUGCGUAGAUAUGCGGAGGAACACCGAUGGCGAAGGCAAUCCCCUGGGCCUGCACUGACGCUCAUGCACGAAAGCGUGGGGAGCAAACAGGAUUAGAUACCCCGGUAGU